GGCUCAGGACGAACGCUGGCGGCGUGCCUAAUACAUGCAAGUCGAGCGAUCGAUGGGAGCUUGCUCCCUGAGAUUAGCGGCGGACGGGUGAGUAACACGUGGGCAACCUGCCUAUAAGACUGGGAUAACUUCGGGAAACCGGAGCUAAUACCGGAUACGUUCUUUUCUCGCAUGAGAGAAGAUGGAAAGACGGUUUACGCUGUCACUUAUAGAUGGGCCCGCGGCGCAUUAGCUAGUUGGUGAGGUAAUGGCUCACCAAGGCGACGAUGCGUAGCCGACCUGAGAGGGUGAUCGGCCACACUGGGACUGAGACACGGCCCAGACUCCUACGGGAGGCAGCAGUAGGGAAUCUUCCGCAAUGGACGAAAGUCUGACGGAGCAACGCCGCGUGAACGAAGAAGGCCUUCGGGUCGUAAAGUUCUGUUGUUAGGGAAGAACAAGUACCAGAGUAACUGCUGGUACCUUGACGGUACCUAACCAGAAAGCCACGGCUAACUACGUGC
Molecule: ribosomal RNA, 503 nt
Filed under: Bacillus sp. (in: firmicutes)
Lineage: Bacteria; Bacillati; Bacillota; Bacilli; Caryophanales; Bacillaceae
Description: bacterial SSU rRNA
Rfam family: Bacterial small subunit ribosomal RNA
Source: RNAcentral